AGUGAACGCUGGCGGUAGGCCUAACACAUGCAAGUCGAACGGCAGCACAGUAAGAGCUUGCUCUUACGGGUGGCGAGUGGCGGACGGGUGAGGAAUACAUCGGAAUCUACUUUUUCGUGGGGGAUAACGUAGGGAAACUUACGCUAAUACCGCAUACGACCUACGGGUGAAAGCAGGGGAUCUUCGGACCUUGCGCGAUUGAAUGAGCCGAUGUCGGAUUAGCUAGUUGGCGGGGUAAAGGCCCACCAAGGCGACGAUCCGUAGCUGGUCUGAGAGGAUGAUCAGCCACACUGGAAUUGAGACACGGUCCAGACUCCUACGGGAGGCAGCAGUGGGGAAUAUUGGACAAUGGGCGCAAGCCUGAUCCAGCCAUACCGCGUGGGUGAAGAAAGCCUUCGGGUUGUAAAGCCCUUUUGUUGGGAAAGAAAAGCAGCAGGUUAAUACCCCGCUGUUCUGACGGUACCCAAAGAAUAAGCACCGGCUAACUUCGUG
RNAcentral lists this ribosomal RNA (492 nucleotides) under uncultured bacterium. Its description in RNAcentral is "partial 16S ribosomal RNA". It matches the Rfam family "Bacterial small subunit ribosomal RNA", at positions 29 to 507 of the family's 1533-position model. The record is from RNAcentral.